RNAcentral lists this ribosomal RNA (583 nucleotides) under Pteroptyx tener. RNAcentral's name for it is "partial large subunit ribosomal RNA". It matches the Rfam family "Bacterial large subunit ribosomal RNA", at positions 1808 to 2669 of the family's 2925-position model. The record is from RNAcentral. Lineage: Eukaryota; Metazoa; Arthropoda; Insecta; Coleoptera; Lampyridae.
UAAAAACAUGUCUUUUUGAUUAUAAUUUAAGGUUUAAUCUGCUCAAUGAUUAUUUAAAUUGCCGCAGUAUUUUGACUGUGCAAAGGUAGCAUAAUAAUUAGUUUCUUUAUUGGGAACUGGAAUGAAUGAUUGGACGAGAAAAUUUCUGUCUCUUUAUUAUUUUAAUUGAAUUUUACUUUUAAGUUAAAAGGCUUAAAUUUUAUUAGAGGACGAGAAGACCCUAUAGAGUUUAAUUUUUAUUUAAAUAAUUAUUUUUAGUAUUUAUAUAUAUUAUUUAAAUAAAAAUUUAGUUGGGGUGACUAAAAGAUAAGAAUAACUCUUUUAAUUUUUAUCAAUUAUUUUUGAUUAUAAAAUCUUUAUUUUUAAUUUUAAAAUAAAUUACCUUAGGGAUAACAGCGUAAUUCUUUUUUAAAGUUCUUAUUAAAAGAAGAGUUUGCGACCUCGAUGUUGGAUUAAAAUUAAUUUUAGGUGUAGAAGCUUGAAAAUUAAGUCUGUUCGACUUUUAAAAUUUUACAUGAUCUGAGUUUAAACCGGUGUGAGCCAGGUUGGUUUCUAUCCUUAAUUAUAUAUUAUACUUUAGUAC